AUUGAACGCUGGCGGCAGGCCUAACACAUGCAAGUCGAGCGAACGGCGGACGGGUGCGUAAUGUCUGGGAAACUGCCUGAUGGAGGGGGAUAACUCCUGGAAACGGUAGCAAAUACCGCCUACCAUCAGAUCUGCCCAGAUGGGAUUAGCUAGGACGUGGGGUAUCGGCUCACCUAGGCGACUAUCCCUAGCUGGUCUGAGAGGAUGAGGAGACACACUGGAACGGAGACCCGGUCCAGACUCCUACGGGAGGCAGCAGUGGGUGAUAUGGCACUAUGGGCGCAAGCCUGAUGCAGCCAGGCCGCAUGUGUGAAAAAGGCCUGCGGGUUGUGAAGGACUUUCAGCGGGAUGGCGUUACCCGCAUAAGAAGUAUCGGCUAACUCCGUGCCAGCGGCCGCGGUAAUAC
RNAcentral lists this ribosomal RNA (406 nucleotides) under uncultured bacterium. Its description in RNAcentral is "partial 16S ribosomal RNA". It matches the Rfam family "Bacterial small subunit ribosomal RNA", at positions 30 to 526 of the family's 1533-position model. The record is from RNAcentral.